This 484-nucleotide ribosomal RNA is filed under the name uncultured bacterium. RNAcentral describes it as "partial 16S ribosomal RNA". It matches the Rfam family "Bacterial small subunit ribosomal RNA", at positions 30 to 507 of the family's 1533-position model. The record is from RNAcentral.
AUUGAACGCUGGCGGCAGGCCUAACACAUGCAAGUCGAGCGGAUGAAGGGAGCUUGCUCCUGGAUUCAGCGGCGGACGGGUGAGUAAUGCCUAGGAAUCUGCCUGGUAGUGGGGGAUAACGUCCGGAAACGGGCGUUAAUACCGCAUACGUCCUGAGGGAGAAAGUGGGGGAUCUUCGGACCUCACGCUAUCAGAUGAGCCUAGGUCGGAUUAGCUAGUUGGUGGGGUAAAGGCCUACCAAGGCGACGAUCCGUAACUGGUCUGAGAGGAUGAUCAGUCACACUGGAACUGAGACACGGUCCAGACUCCUACGGGAGGCAGCAGUGGGGAAUAUUGGACAAUGGGCGAAAGCCUGAUCCAGCCAUGCCGCGUGUGUGAAGAAGGUCUUCGGAUUGUAAAGCACUUUAAGUUGGGAGGAAGGGCAGUAAGUUAAUACCUUGCUGUUUUGACGUUACCAACAGAAUAAGCACCGGCUAACUUCGUG